This 2115-nucleotide long non-coding RNA is filed under the name Homo sapiens (human). RNAcentral describes it as "long non-coding RNA NONHSAT178687.1". Lineage: Eukaryota; Metazoa; Chordata; Mammalia; Primates; Hominidae. The record is from RNAcentral.
GACAGUGCAGCCACCUCCGAGAGCCUGGAUGUGAUGGCGUCACAGAAGAGACCCUCCCAGAGGCACGGAUCCAAGUACCUGGCCACAGCAAGUACCAUGGACCAUGCCAGGCAUGGCUUCCUCCCAAGGCACAGAGACACGGGCAUCCUUGACUCCAUCGGGCGCUUCUUUGGCGGUGACAGGGGUGCGCCCAAGCGGGGCUCUGGCAAGGACUCACACCACCCGGCAAGAACUGCUCACUACGGCUCCCUGCCCCAGAAGUCACACGGCCGGACCCAAGAUGAAAACCCCGUAGUCCACUUCUUCAAGAACAUUGUGACGCCUCGCACACCACCCCCGUCGCAGGGAAAGCGUGAAGGGGGCCGAAGGCCAGAGACCAGGAUUUGGCUACGGAGGCAGAGCGUCCGACUAUAAAUCGGCUCACAAGGGAUUCAAGGGAGUCGAUGCCCAGGGCACGCUUUCCAAAAUUUUUAAGCUGGGAGGAAGAGAUAGUCGCUCUGGAUCACCCAUGGCUAGACGCUGAAAACCCACCUGGUUCCGGAAUCCUGUCCUCAGCUUCUUAAUAUAACUGCCUUAAAACUUUAAUCCCACUUGCCCCUGUUACCUAAUUAGAGCAGAUGACCCCUCCCCUAAUGCCUGCGGAGUUGUGCACGUAGUAGGGUCAGGCCACGGCAGCCUACCGGCAAUUUCCGGCCAACAGUUAAAUGAGAACAUGAAAACAGAAAACGGUUAAAACUGUCCCUUUCUGUGUGAAGAUCACGUUCCUUCCCCCGCAAUGUGCCCCCAGACGCACGUGGGUCUUCAGGGGGCCAGGUGCACAGACGUCCCUCCACGUUCACCCCUCCACCCUUGGACUUUCUUUUCGCCGUGGCUGCGGCACCCUUGCGCUUUUGCUGGUCACUGCCAUGGAGGCACACAGCUGCAGAGACAGAGAGGACGUGGGCGGCAGAGAGGACUGUUGACAUCCAAGCUUCCUUUGUUUUUUUUUCCUGUCCUUCUCUCACCUCCUAAAGUAGACUUCAUUUUUCCUAACAGGAUUAGACAGUCAAGGAGUGGCUUACUACAUGUGGGAGCUUUUGGUAUGUGACAUGCGGGCUGGGCAGCUGUUAGAGUCCAACGUGGGGCAGCACAGAGAGGGGGCCACCUCCCCAGGCCGUGGCUGCCCACACACCCCAAUUAGCUGAAUUCGCGUGUGGCAGAGGGAGGAAAAGGAGGCAAACGUGGGCUGGGCAAUGGCCUCACAUAGGAAACAGGGUCUUCCUGGAGAUUUGGUGAUGGAGAUGUCAAGCAGGUGGCCUCUGGACGUCACCGUUGCCCUGCAUGGUGGCCCCAGAGCAGCCUCUAUGAACAACCUCGUUUCCAAACCACAGCCCACAGCCGGAGAGUCCAGGAAGACUUGCGCACUCAGAGCAGAAGGGUAGGAGUCCUCUAGACAGCCUCGCAGCCGCGCCAGUCGCCCAUAGACACUGGCUGUGACCGGGCGUGCUGGCAGCGGCAGUGCACAGUGGCCAGCACUAACCCUCCCUGAGAAGAUAACCGGCUCAUUCACUUCCUCCCAGAAGACGCGUGGUAGCGAGUAGGCACAGGCGUGCACCUGCUCCCGAAUUACUCACCGAGACACACGGGCUGAGCAGACGGCCCCGUGGAUGGAGACAAAGAGCUCUUCUGACCAUAUCCUUCUUAACACCCGCUGGCAUCUCCUUUCGCGCCUCCCUCCCUAACCUACUGACCCACCUUUUGAUUUUAGCGCACCUGUGAUUGAUAGGCCUUCCAAAGAGUCCCACGCUGGCAUCACCCUCCCCGAGGACGGAGAUGAGGAGUAGUCAGCGUGAUGCCAAAACGCGUCUUCUUAAUCCAAUUCUAAUUCUGAAUGUUUCGUGUGGGCUUAAUACCAUGUCUAUUAAUAUAUAGCCUCGAUGAUGAGAGAGUUACAAAGAACAAAACUCCAGACACAAACCUCCAAAUUUUUCAGCAGAAGCACUCUGCGUCGCUGAGCUGAGGUCGGCUCUGCGAUCCAUACGUGGCCGCACCCACACAGCACGUGCUGUGACGAUGGCUGAACGGAAAGUGUACACUGUUCCUGAAUAUUGAAAUAAAACAAUAAACUUUUAAUGG